CAGUAGCCGCGGUAACACGUAGGGUGCAAGCGUUAAUCGGAAUUACUGGGCGUAAAGCGUGCGCAGGCGGUUUUGUAAGACAGAGGUGAAAUCCCCGGGCUCAACCUGGGAACUGCCUUUGUGACUGCAAGGCUAGAGUACGGCAGAGGGGGAUGGAAUUCCGCGUGUAGCAGUGAAAUGCGUAGAUAUGCGGAGGAACACCGAUGGCGAAGGCAAUCCCCUGGGCCUGUACUGACGCUCAUGCACGAAAGCGUGGGGAGCAAACAGGAUUAGAUACCCCCGUAGUCCCUGUCUCUUAUAC
RNAcentral lists this ribosomal RNA (301 nucleotides) under uncultured bacterium. RNAcentral describes it as "partial 16S ribosomal RNA". It matches the Rfam family "Bacterial small subunit ribosomal RNA", at positions 509 to 807 of the family's 1533-position model. The record is from RNAcentral.